RNAcentral lists this long non-coding RNA (218 nucleotides) under Mytilus galloprovincialis (Mediterranean mussel). Lineage: Eukaryota; Metazoa; Mollusca; Bivalvia; Mytilida; Mytilidae. The record is from RNAcentral.
CAACUUCGUAAAAAAGUAAUAUAUUAAAGACAUAUUUUAGUGGUAAGUAGGAUAACGUUUAAUUUUUAUGGAUGAAACGGAAAGCGGGGAAAAGGGGGGGGGGGCUAAUUAUAUUUUUAAAUAAACAGGAUGUGAUCUUUAUUUCUGAUGAUAAAAUGCAGAAUGUGCCAUUACAUCCACCACCCCCCCCCCCCCCUUAAAAAAUCGUAAAAAUCGCG